UGCAGCUCAUUAUAACGUUCUAAUAAAUGUGUGUGUGUGUGUGUGUCACAGUGAGCAGGAGACGUUGUCCUCACUGCGUCUGCAUGUGGAGGAGGUGCAGAGGAGGGAGGAGGAGGUGAAGAGAGAGAGAGACAGGCUGAGGAGGGACAGAGACAGACAGGAGGACAUUAACAGACAGCUGGAGACUCAAACACUUGGACGAGUGGAGGCUGAGCUGCUGGAGAACGUCCAGCUGACGGAGAGAGAGACUCUGCACCGCGUGGAGAUCCACGCUCUUAAGGGGGCGCUGGAGAGACAGCAGCUGGACACACAGAGAGCAGAAGAAGAAGCUGCUGACGCCAGAGACGCCCUGCAGAAAGUACAGCCGAUAACAACAAACAACAACAACAACAACAAUAAUAAUAAUAAUGUCCUCUUAUGCCCUGUGUCCUCCCUCUGUU
Molecule: non-coding RNA, 440 nt
Organism: Plectropomus leopardus (leopard coralgrouper)
Lineage: Eukaryota; Metazoa; Chordata; Actinopteri; Perciformes; Serranidae
Source: RefSeq, a predicted model, not a curated record